CCAGAGAUGGCGGGCCCCCGCGCCCCCGUCCCCAACCCUUUGUUGACCAAACCACUUUUGCCUCGGGGGCAGAGCGGCCUCCGCCGCCCCCGGUGGACCAUUUAACACUGUCUCUGUACGUCGGAGUCUUUGAUGAAUAAAUGA
Molecule: unclassified non-coding RNA, 144 nt
Filed under: uncultured fungus
Lineage: Eukaryota; Fungi
Description: sequence contains ITS1, 5.8S rRNA gene
Source: RNAcentral